Cervus elaphus (red deer) is the source of this 445-nucleotide long non-coding RNA. RefSeq lists it as uncharacterized. The record is from RefSeq and is a predicted model, not a curated record. NCBI's taxonomy places the organism in Eukaryota, Metazoa, Chordata, Mammalia, Artiodactyla, Cervidae. The transcript is spliced from 4 exons.
UCCACAGGAGACAUCCUGGUUUACAUAGCAGCCCCAUGAAGACUUUGAAAAAAGCUUGGAUGUCAAAAAUUUCAAAGGCAAAACAAUUCUCCAGGAAGAUAUGUCAACUUUGUCCUGUGGUGUUCUGGAUCCUAAUUUGAGAAUCACAGCACUGAAAUAAAGCAGAGUAAGGAGACACAGAACUUGGGGCCUGACAUUCCACACCGUGACUGUAUGAUCUUGGAUAAGAGCUCACCUGCCCCAACUAUAAAAUAAAGGAAACUUCUAUAAAAGACAGAAGGUGAUUCAUCAAGCGAAUUACAUUGAUUACCUUCCCUGUUGGCCACUGAGCUUUCAGAAUGGAGAAAGACUAGAGACAAAUUUGGUCUACCUAACAAAAUCCAGACAAAGAGGGGUGCAGAUGAGAAUCACCCACCAUGUGGGCUGCAGCGCGGGCAGAGUGUUC